Small nucleolar RNA from Ailuropoda melanoleuca (giant panda), 106 nucleotides. The record is from Ensembl. Lineage: Eukaryota; Metazoa; Chordata; Mammalia; Carnivora; Ursidae.
AUCCUUUUGUAGUUCACAAGCAUGAUGACAGGUUGUUCACACUGUUAAUGUGACAUGUGCCUCCCUCAAACCUUGUUACAACCUCAGCACAUUACCUUACAUGAUU